RNAcentral lists this ribosomal RNA (1076 nucleotides) under Amolops granulosus (granular torrent frog). RNAcentral's name for it is "partial large subunit ribosomal RNA". It matches the Rfam family "Bacterial large subunit ribosomal RNA", at positions 837 to 2607 of the family's 2925-position model. Lineage: Eukaryota; Metazoa; Chordata; Amphibia; Anura; Ranidae. The record is from RNAcentral.
GCCUAGUGAUAGCUGGUUGUUCAGGAAAAGAGUUUUAGCUCUACCUUAAUUUUUUUAUUAUACCAAACAAAACACUAGAUUUAAGAGCUAUUCAAAUAAGGCACAGCUUAUUUGAAACGGGGUACAACCCCUAACACUGGGUUAACCUAGAUAUAUUAAAUAAAGUGGGCCUAAAAGCAGCCAUCUUCCAAAAAGCGUUAAAGCUUAACAUAUCUUCAUCUACAAUUCCACAAUUUUUACUUAACCCUUCAUCACUACUGAACUAUUUUAUACCCUUAUAAAAGUCAUUAUGCUAGAACUAGUAACAAGAAAUUGCCCUUCUCCAAAAUGUAUGUUUAAACCAAAAUGGACCCUCCACUGGUAGUUAACGUAAAUGUAAAAAUCAUAGUACCACACAACUAGAAAACCCUAUGACCCCACAACGUCAACCUUACACUAGAACAUUACAGGAAAGAUUAAAAGAGAAAGAAGGAACUCGGCAAACCACAGUCCCGCCUGUUUACCAAAAACACCGCCUCUUGCCCAAAUAUAAGAGGUCCAGCCUGCCCAGUGACAUAGUUUAACGGCCGCGGUACCCUAACCGUGCGAAGGUAGCAUAAUCACUUGUUCUUUAAAUAAGGACUCGUAUCAACGGCAUCACGAGGGCUGUACUGUCUCCUUUCUCCAAUCAGUGAAACUGAUCUCCCCGUGAAGAAGCGGGGAUUGACCUAUAAGACGAGAAGACCCCAUGGAGCUUUAAACCCAAUAUACACCUCUACGCACCCAAAUCAAUAUAGCCCAAGAGGUUUGUAUGUUGGUUUUAGGUUGGGGGGACCGCGGAGUAAAAUUAAACCUCCAUGACAGACGGGCUAACACCCUUAUCCAUGAACCACAAUUCUAAGAGCCAAUAAAUUGUUGUCUAAUGACCCAAUUACUUGAUCAACGAACCAAGUUACCCUGGGGAUAACAGCGCAAUCUACUUCAAGAGCCCCUAUCGACAAGUAGGUUUACGACCUCGAUGUUGGAUCAGGGUAUCCUAGUGGUGCAGCCGCUACUAAAGGUUCGUUUGUUCAACGAUUAAAACCCUACGUGAUCUG